UCUAAGGAUGUUUCUUUUGGGAGUUUGGCUCCGGCCGAUCUGCUACUCGAGACGUCAUUGGAUACAUGAAGCCCAGUCAGGGCUUCGAUUGGCGGGACCUGGAGAGGCCGCCCUCGUUUCUCUUUCUCAUCCGGAUAAGCGGGAUCGCUGGACGCGGCGUUGCGUGAUGCAACGGCUGUCGAUCGGGCGACCGGCUGGGGCCUGUAGCUCAGGUGGUUAGAGCGCACCCCUGAUAAGGGUGAGGUCGGACGUUCGAGUCGUCCCAGGCCCACCAUGAUCAGGGGACGUAGCUCAGCUGGGAGAGCAGUUGCUUUGCAAGCAUCAGGUCGUCGGUUCGAUCCCGUCCGUCUCCACCAGCGCUUCUUCGUGAGGCGCGGUCGUAUCCGGAGAGAGAGUGCAAGUUUGCCCUUGUGAGUGCUGAGCGCCGCAGGCGGCAUUGAUAUCGAACAUCGUGAAGAGGGAAUGUGGCCGCAGGUUCCGCGAAAGCGGGUCGCCUGUUGCAGGUCAUGUUCGGCAAGCAUGUGAUGCGGGUUCCGAGAGGAGCCUGCAUCACUGGUCUUUAUCGUGACCGUGGCUGGGUGAUCGGCAGCAGCUUAGCUGCUGCGGAUCACACCGGACAUCGAUCAUGAGAGC
RNAcentral lists this transfer RNA (633 nucleotides) under Methylorubrum populi. RNAcentral describes it as "16S-23S ribosomal RNA intergenic spacer". The stretch from base 198 to 271 matches the Rfam family "tRNA". The record is from RNAcentral. Lineage: Bacteria; Pseudomonadati; Pseudomonadota; Alphaproteobacteria; Hyphomicrobiales; Methylobacteriaceae.